Anas platyrhynchos (mallard) is the source of this 1559-nucleotide non-coding RNA. NCBI's taxonomy places the organism in Eukaryota, Metazoa, Chordata, Aves, Anseriformes, Anatidae. The record is from RefSeq and is a predicted model, not a curated record.
GUGUAUGAGGACACCCAAAGAAACUGAAGAGAGCAAGGGUUAAAACAUUGGCAUAUAGCAAUAGAUAACUGAGUAUGUGGCAGACAGCAACCAGACUUGUAAACCUGGGAUGUGUUGCCAUCAGAAUGCAUCUCUGUUUGUGUAGAUGGAAACAAGAGGGUGGCAACAUCACACGUACCACUCCUGCUCCUGUCACCCAACUAGAAGUCAAGUAACAGCCAGGAAGGUAACCAAAACAAGAAAAUAAAGGCAAUGGACAGCAGCUGUGUGUAAUGGCAGACAAUGGCAGACUAAUGGCAGACAAGAUAAACAAGGUUCAGAGUUGAAAGCUCAUUCCAUGGUAACUGCAGAGUCCUAAUGGGCACGUCAGAUCUAUUGGGGAAAAAAAGAAAAAGAAAAAAAAAAAGGUCUUUUGUCUUUUUCUCCUGAGAGAUGUGUUCAGGACUUGGAAGGAGAAGUCACGAUUCUUGGUGUUGCUCACUACUGAUCCUGGCCAGCUUGCCUGUUGCAAGCCAAGUACAAAGCAAACAAGAAGGGAAAUGUUGAACAUAAAAUCUGGAAGUUGCUUUUGUCCAGAAAUGUUGAUAUAAUCAGAUUGAGAGUGACAGCUGGAAGCCCUGAAGAACAGUCCGGGUUACAGUCUGGCUGGAGAUCCAGGCCUUCAGGUGCGAGCAGAAAGGAAACAAGUCCACCAUCAGGACUCACCAAGAGAUCAGCCACAGAGCAGCUGCAGAGGAAAACGUGGGCUGCAGGAGAGAAGACUUGGGAAGAGGAAGCUGGUCUCCAUGUCUGUAAAUGGAUUGUCAGUGCUACCCCUGUAAUUAAUUUAAGUCCUCACAAGAAGGAGAGGUAUUUUGCUAUUUAUGUUUGUUUCUCUUUUCCACUAAGAAGGGAUGAUGUAGGUUACCACCACUCUUUCAGUCUAAAUGUCACUUCACAGCCUGAAAUAAUACGUCUCUUUUGUUACUGCCUUGUGGGAUCCAAUGACUUCAGGGAUACCUGUGGCUCAUCCUGCACCAUCCACCCCUCUUAAUUUCAAAACUGGAGACAGCUUUAGCAAGUAAGAGAAAAUUGGAAUGGAGCAUGGCUGGAAUCUGAUGUCCAUACAGAUACUGAAAGAAGCUCCCAUUUAAAUAUUUGGUGACCAGCUGCCUGCAUUGUGAGGCCAGAAGCCCAUUUUGCUGGGCUACACAAGCAACAGAGCAGCCAGAUGUCUGUCUGAGAGGCCAGCCAGAGGCAGAGGACCACAUGGAGGGGCAGGGGUGAUGGGGGCAAUCAGGAGGGAGAGGCAGGGCAGUUAAGGGUCUUUUAGGUGUAAACAAAUCCACUUGGAUCAGGGAUUCAGAAGGUAGUGUGACAAAUUUAAAGAGCGGAGAAGAUGAGCUUGGCGGUUGUCUUAGCUAUGUUGGCUUAGGAAAAAACUGGGCAGCAGAGCACAGGUACCAGGGAGCUAUAGCAUUCUCUUUUCUUUCAGUACAUGCCUGUUCACUUUAAAACCCAGCUCCCUUUUGUAAUACAUUGUAUUAAAGCUCAAGACUAAAAUAAAUGUUAUUAUUUUG